GACCGGCGCACGGGUGCGUAACGCGUAUGCAACCUACCUCUUACUGGGGAAUAGCCCCGAGAAAUCGGGAUUAAUACCCCAUAACAUCAUUGAAUCGCAUGGUUUGAUGAUUAAAGUUUCGACGGUAAGAGAUGGGCAUGCGUGACAUUAGUUUGUUGGUGAGGUAACGGCUCACCAAGACUACGAUGUCUAGGGGUUCUGAGAGGAUAUUCCCCCACACUGGUACUGAGACACGGACCAGACUCCUACGGGAGGCAGCAGUAAGGAAUAUUGGGCAAUGGACGAAAGUCUGACCCAGCCAUGCCGCGUGCAGGAUGACUGCCCUAUGGGUUGUAAACUGCUUUUGUACAGGAAGAAACUUCCCGACGUGUCGGGGACUGACGGUACUGUACGAAUAAGCACCGGCUAACUCCGUGCCAGCAGCCGCGGUAAUACGGAGGGUGCAAGCGUUAUCCGGAUUUAUUGGGUUUAAAGGGUGCGCAGGCGGAAUGAUAAGUCAGUGGUGAAAUCUUCCCGCUCAACGGGGAAACUGCCAUUGAUACUGUCGUUCUUGAGUACAGUUGAAGUGGGCGGAAUGUAUCAUGUAGCGGUGAAAUGCAUAGAUAUGAUACAGAACGCCGAUAGCGAAAGCAGCUCACUAAACUGUAACUGACGCUCAGGCACGAAAGCGUGG
RNAcentral lists this ribosomal RNA (673 nucleotides) under uncultured Bacteroidota bacterium. RNAcentral's name for it is "bacterial SSU rRNA". It matches the Rfam family "Bacterial small subunit ribosomal RNA", at positions 93 to 764 of the family's 1533-position model. The record is from RNAcentral. Lineage: Bacteria; Pseudomonadati; Bacteroidota.